This 607-nucleotide ribosomal RNA is filed under the name uncultured bacterium. RNAcentral's name for it is "bacterial SSU rRNA". It matches the Rfam family "Bacterial small subunit ribosomal RNA", at positions 331 to 929 of the family's 1533-position model. The record is from RNAcentral.
CCAGACUCCUACGGGAGGCAGCAGUGGGGAAUCUUCCGCAAUGGACGAAAGUCUGACGGAGCAACGCCGCGUGAGUGAUGACGGCCUUCGGGUUGUAAAGCUCUGUUAAUCGGGACGAAAGGCCUUCUUGCGAAUAGUGAGAAGGAUUGACGGUACCGGAAUAGAAAGCCACGGCUAACUACGUGCCAGCAGCCGCGGUAAUACGUAGGUGGCAAGCGUUGUCCGGAAUUAUUGGGCGUAAAGCGCGCGCAGGCGGAUCGGUCAGUCUGUCUUAAAAGUUCGGGGCUUAACCCCGUGAUGGGAUGGAAACUGCCAAUCUAGAGUAUCGGAGAGGAAAGUGGAAUUCCUAGUGUAGCGGUGAAAUGCGUAGAUAUUAGGAAGAACACCAGUGGCGAAGGCGACUUUCUGGACGAAAACUGACACUGAGGCGCGAAAGCCAGGGGAGCGAACGGGAUUAGAUACCCCGGUAGUCCUGGCCGUAAACGAUGGGUACUAGGUGUAGGAGGUAUCGACCCCUUCUGUGCCGGAGUUAACGCAAUAAGUACCCCGCCUGGGGAGUACGACCGCAAGGUUGAAACUCAAAGGAAUUGACGGGGGCCCGCACAAG